ACCUUACUACAUGGAUACCUGUGGUAAUUCUAGAGCUAAUACAUGCUAAAAACCCCGACUCACGAAGGGGUGUAUUUAUUAGAUAAAAAACCAACGCCCUUCGGGGCUCCUUGGUGAAUCAUAAUAACUUAACGAAUCGCAUGGCCUUGCGCCGGCGAUGGUUCAUUCAAAUUUCUGCCCUAUCAACUUUCGAUGGUAGGAUAGUGGCCUACCAUGGUGGCAACGGGUAACGGGGAAUUAGGGUUCGAUUCCGGAGAGGGAGCCUGAGAAACGGCUACCACAUCCAAGGAAGGCAGCAGGCGCGCAAAUUACCCAAUCCCGAUACGGGGAGGUAGUGACAAUAAAUACUGAUACGGGGCUCUUUUGGGUCUCGUAAUUGGAAUGAGAACAAUUUAAAUCCCUUAACGAGGAACAAUUGGAGGGCAAGUCUGGUGCCAGCAGCCGCGGUAAUUCCAGCUCCAAUAGCGUAUAUUAAAGUUGUUGCAGUUAAAAAGCUCGUAGUUGAACCUUGGGUCUGGCUGGCCGGUCCGCCUCACCGCGAGUACUGGUCCGGCUGGACUUUCCUUCUGGGGAACCUCAUGGCCUUCACUGGCUGUGGGGGGAACCAGGACUUUUACUGUGAAAAAAUUAGAGUGUUCAAAGCAGG
This 646-nucleotide ribosomal RNA is filed under the name Penicillium sacculum. Its description in RNAcentral is "SSU rRNA". It matches the Rfam family "Eukaryotic small subunit ribosomal RNA", at positions 129 to 784 of the family's 1831-position model. The record is from RNAcentral. Lineage: Eukaryota; Fungi; Ascomycota; Eurotiomycetes; Eurotiales; Aspergillaceae.